Molecule: ribosomal RNA, 761 nt
Filed under: Prevotella melaninogenica
Lineage: Bacteria; Pseudomonadati; Bacteroidota; Bacteroidia; Bacteroidales; Prevotellaceae
Description: bacterial SSU rRNA
Rfam family: Bacterial small subunit ribosomal RNA
Source: RNAcentral
GAUGAACGCUAGCUACAGGCUUAACACAUGCAAGUCGAGGGGAAACGGCGUUAAGUGCUUGCACUUUUUGGACGUCGACCGGCGCACGGGUGAGUAACGCGUAUCCAACCUUCCCAUGACUAAGGGAUAACCUGCCGAAAGGCAGACUAAUACCUUAUGGUCUUCACUGACGGCAUCAGAUGUGAAGUAAAGAUUUAUCGGUUAUGGAUGGGGAUGCGUCUGAUUAGCUUGUUGGCGGGGUAACGGCCCACCAAGGCAACGAUCAGUAGGGGUUCUGAGAGGAAGGUCCCCCACAUUGGAACUGAGACACGGUCCAAACUCCUACGGGAGGCAGCAGUGAGGAAUAUUGGUCAAUGGGCGAGAGCCUGAACCAGCCAAGUAGCGUGCAGGAUGACGGCCCUAUGGGUUGUAAACUGCUUUUGUAUGGGGAUAAAGUCAAUCACGUGUGAUUGUUUGCAGGUACCAUACGAAUAAGGACCGGCUAAUUCCGUGCCAGCAGCCGCGGUAAUACGGAAGGUCCGGGCGUUAUCCGGAUUUAUUGGGUUUAAAGGGAGCGUAGGCUGGAGAUUAAGUGUGUUGUGAAAUGUAGACGCUCAACGUCUGACUUGCAGCGCAUACUGGUUUCCUUGAGUACGCACAACGUUGGCGGAAUUCGUCGUGUAGCGGUGAAAUGCUUAGAUAUGACGAAGAACUCCGAUUGCGAAGGCAGCUGACGGGAGCGCAACUGACGCUGAAGCUCGAAGGUGCGGGUAUCGAACAGG